UGGGGAAUAUUGGACAAUGGGCGCAAGCCUGAUCCAGCCAUGCCGCGUGAGUGACGAAGGUCUUCGGAUUGUAAAGCUCUUUUGGCGGGGACGAUAAUGACGGUACCCGCAGAAUAAGCCCCGGCUAACUUCGUGCCAGCAGCCGCGGUAAUACGAAGGGGGCUAGCGUUGUUCGGAAUUACUGGGCGUAAAGCGCACGUAGGCGGACUGAUAAGUCAGGGGUGAAAUCCCGGGGCUCAACCUCGGAACUGCCUUUGAUACUGUUAGUCUCGAGUCCGGAAGAGGUGAGUGGAAUUCCUAGUGUAGAGGUGAAAUUCGUAGAUAUUAGGAAGAACACCAGUGGCGAAGGCGGCUCACUGGUCCGGUACUGACGCUGAGGUGCGAAAGCGUGGGGAGCAAACAGGAUUAGAUACCCGCGUAGUCCCUGAGCGGGCUGGCAAGGCGCAU
Molecule: ribosomal RNA, 447 nt
Filed under: uncultured bacterium
Lineage: Bacteria
Description: bacterial SSU rRNA
Rfam family: Bacterial small subunit ribosomal RNA
Source: RNAcentral